AAGAGGUAGAGACUAGUAACUAUAUUCUAGUAUAUUCUAAGAAACUUCCACCAUCCUCCUUCCUUCUCUAUAGUCAAGCUUCCAUGAUCACCCAGUUUCUGUGCCUGGCCCUAGAAUAGCUUACUUAUUUUGGUGACAUGUAGAAAAUCUGCCUAACAACUCCCUUCUAGCAACUUCCAUCUAUUCCACACUGAAAGAAUUGGGGCAGGAAUUCCCAGUCCAGUUUUAGUAAAUGUUAAACAAUGUUAAAGAAAGCAUUAGUUUUCUCCUGGAAAAAAAAGGAAAGUUUUGACAAAAUCUCCGGAAAUGUUGCUUAAUGCAAAUAUUUUGGCCUUCCCACCUGGGUAUGCCAAUGAUAGUAUGUGAUUGCCUAAGGUGUGUCUCUUUAAUGUUUCUAUCUUCCAUCCUUGCCUCUAGUUGUUUGUCUUGAAUAAACCCUCCAGCCAAAUGAAGUCCUUGAAAUCGCAGAUUAUACUUUAUCCCUUUGCCAUUCUCUACAGUGUUGAAAACGCUGCUGGUGCAGGCAGGAACGCUGAUUAACUGGUGGCGUUGUCACAUUCUGUUUUGUUCGACUCCGCUAAUAUUAAGCCACCAGCUAGCCCUCAUAUUAAAAAUAGCCCAGAUUUAUCUUUCAAGGUUGUCACCUAGCUUUGACGUCUCUACCUUGCUUUUCCAGACAGAGCUUCACAUAAAGAAAACUGAGGUGCAGGGCUGGGGCAAGAAACGUCUUCCUUUGUGGCUGUUUCUUCGCAUAGGCUCAUAGAACAUUGUCCACGAAGGUGGGAGCAGCACCCUCCUCAAGUUUUAAGCGCAUACAAACCACUGGGGACCCUGGCGGAGGCGGGGAUCCUGGGGAAGGGCCCAAGAAUCUGCAUUUUGGAAAAGCAGUAAGGGGAUGGGCCACUCUCUGAGCAGCAAGUGUCUAGAUUCAAUGUUGUUCAACCAUUUCCAUUUCAAAACAUAUUUGUAAAUUUGCCCAAGUUAUAUAGAAAAUACAGUCUGAACAGAUGAUCAAAGUGGCAAAAUUGUUCUCCUGAAAACCGCAUUCCUUAAUAAAAACUUUGUUACAGAGGGGCGCCUGGGUGGC
Molecule: long non-coding RNA, 1087 nt
Filed under: Felis catus (domestic cat)
Lineage: Eukaryota; Metazoa; Chordata; Mammalia; Carnivora; Felidae
Description: lncRNA (ENSFCAG00000050138.1)
Source: RNAcentral